Molecule: non-coding RNA, 23 nt
Filed under: Arabidopsis thaliana (thale cress)
Lineage: Eukaryota; Viridiplantae; Streptophyta; Magnoliopsida; Brassicales; Brassicaceae
Source: RNAcentral
GCAAGGUUGUGAAGUUGUAUUCA